Schistosoma rodhaini is the source of this 46-nucleotide non-coding RNA. Lineage: Eukaryota; Metazoa; Platyhelminthes; Trematoda; Strigeidida; Schistosomatidae. The record is from Rfam.
GCACUGCUGAGGAGUCCCACAAUAGGACGAAAUGUCCAUCCAGUAC